RNAcentral lists this unclassified non-coding RNA (348 nucleotides) under soil metagenome. RNAcentral describes it as "partial contains 5.8S ribosomal RNA, internal transcribed spacer 2, and large subunit ribosomal RNA". The stretch from base 1 to 120 matches the Rfam family "5.8S ribosomal RNA", at positions 35 to 154 of the family's 154-position model. The record is from RNAcentral.
GAUGAAGAACGUAGCGAAAUGCGAUAAGUAGUGUGAAUUGCAGAAUUCAGUGAAUCAUCGAGUCUUUGAACGCACAUUGCGCCCCCUGGCAUUCCGGGGGGCAUGCCUGUCCGAGCGUCAUUACUGCCCAUCAAGCGCGGCUUGUGUGUUGGGUCCUCGUCCCUCCCGGGGGACGGGCCCGAAAGGCAGCGGCGGUACCGUCCGGUCCUCGAGCGUAUGGGGCUUUGUCACCCGCUCGAUUAGGGCCCGGUCGGCGCCAGCCGUCAACCCCCAAUUUUUUUUUAUUCAGGUUGACCUCGGAUCAGGUAGGGAUACCCGCUGAACUUAAGCAUAUCAAUAAGCGGAGGA